UCCGGUUUGUCACCGGCAGUCCCAUUAGAGUGCCCAACUGAAUGUGGCAACUAAUGGCAAGGGUUGCGCUCGUUGCGGGACUUAACCCAACAUCUCACGACACGAGCUGACGACAGCCAUGCAGCACCUGUGUUACGGUUCCCUUUCGGGCACACCUCCAUCUCUGGAGGCUUCCGUACAUGUCAAGGGUAGGUAAGGUGGGGAUGACGUUCGUCUGAC
Molecule: unclassified non-coding RNA, 219 nt
Filed under: uncultured Gammaproteobacteria bacterium
Lineage: Bacteria; Pseudomonadati; Pseudomonadota; Gammaproteobacteria
Description: contains 16S-23S intergenic spacer region
Source: RNAcentral